Molecule: long non-coding RNA, 1429 nt
Filed under: Equus caballus (horse)
Lineage: Eukaryota; Metazoa; Chordata; Mammalia; Perissodactyla; Equidae
Description: lncRNA (ENSECAG00000048265.1)
Source: RNAcentral
AAGACUUCCCCCGGGGAUUCCACAUUGUCUGAAAGAGAACACAGCCUGUCUGGAACAUCUUCAUGCCAAUCACUGAGUUCAUCUAAAACCCCUAGGGCAGAAGGGAAUGAAUUCUUGAACCUUCUUUGCCUCUGAAGUUGCAGAGGUGGUCUGUUACAGACUGAGGGCCCCUAAACAGCCAGACCAGAACAGUCUUUGAGACCCACAUAAACUUCUUCCAGGUCUGUUCAUUCCCAAUUCAACUGCUAAGUGCAAGACUCUGGAUUAUGUGCAGUGGAAGUAUAUAGAAGCAAAAACUGCAGAUCUUGCCUGAUGGACCAAACAGUCUGAGACCAGAGGACCUACUGUUCCUACGGCUAAUUCAGUCAAAGAAACCAUUUGAUCUGCAUGUUGGACCAAAUGACCAGUGGUUUGACUGAGUUCACAGCCAUCGUGGCUGCUCUGGCGGUGUGUGUCCACCCAGGCUUUGUUUGUGUGCUGGCAGUCUCUGCACCGAGAACACACAGCAUAUGCCAGGUGGCCAUGUGUCUGAGGCAGAGGGAAGGGAGAACAAAGCAGAAAAAGCUUCCAUUUGGACAGAGAUGCUUUAAGCCAUCCGACUGCCAGUAACAUAUUAAAGAGAAAAGAAAAUGCAAUGAUGCCUGAAUAUACUCAACAGUAAACAACUUCAAGCCUGAGAUUCAGAUCACAAAUCUUCCUCUGCUGCUGCUGAUGAGCUCAGCUUGAGCGUGGCUGCAGGAGACAAAGAAACUUGAUCCAAGAGGAAAAUAAGAAGAGAUCUUCACACCAAUUUUAAUCUAUCUCAGAUAACUGGUCGCUCUCUUGCUGGUUCUCCAACAAGCGCUGUUUUCGCACCUGGAUGAGGACAUUUUGCCAUGUUGUGCUGGAUUGCUGUUUGUCUCUACGUGUGGCUCCUCCAGGAGUCAACUUCAUCACAAGUAUACAUUAUGCCAAGAAAGUACCUUUCAGAAGAAAAAUGGGAAACCCAGAUAGCAACUUCAAGUUUUUCUUUUAAAAUAAGAAAAGAAGUGGAGAAUUAGAUGUCCAUCUUUUAAACUUAAAAAAAGAAACUUCUUUAAAUACCAAGAUUACCAUUCAUUUUACUGUAACGUAUUAUCCAGUAAGAGAUUAUGUGAUUCUACCGUGGCAGCUAACUUCCAAAGUUGCCUAUCUAACCACCACCGCCACAGGUAAAACUGGGAGAAUAAGACUCAUUUUCCUUUUAGGCUUCUAGAAUAGAAAUUUCCCUGGUUUUCAUUUCCUUUGAGACAAAUCACACUAUUUUUUGACACUCUUGCAUUAUUUCCACCAGAAUGCCUCCCUCCCAACACUGGUUUAUUUCCAUCAUCGUGGCAAGAAAAAGUAGAUCGCAAACGUUAAGAAAGUUUUGCACAUUAAAUGAGUUACUAAGUUUUUCUAACAGGAUGGG